Molecule: transfer RNA, 75 nt
Filed under: Micromonospora vinacea
Lineage: Bacteria; Bacillati; Actinomycetota; Actinomycetes; Micromonosporales; Micromonosporaceae
Also listed under: 4 other names
Description: tRNA-Glu
Rfam family: tRNA
About the family: Transfer RNA (tRNA) molecules are approximately 80 nucleotides in length. Their secondary structure includes four short double-helical elements and three loops (D, anti-codon, and T loops). Further hydrogen bonds mediate the characteristic L-shaped molecular structure. tRNAs have two regions of fundamental functional importance: the anti-codon, which is responsible for specific mRNA codon recognition, and the 3' end, to which the tRNAs corresponding amino acid is attached (by aminoacyl-tRNA synthetases). tRNAs cope with the degeneracy of the genetic code in two manners: having more than one tRNA (with a specific anti-codon) for a particular amino acid; and 'wobble' base-pairing, i.e. permitting non-standard base-pairing at the 3rd anti-codon position.
Source: RNAcentral
GGGCCAUUGGAGCUGUCGGCAAAGCUCACCUGGUUCUCAGCCAGGAGAUCGUCGGUUCGAGCCCGACAUGGCCUA